UACGUAGGGGGCAAGCGUUGUCCGGAUUUAUUGGGCGUAAAGAGCGUGUAGGCGGCCAUGUAGGUCCGUUGUGAAAACUCGAGGCUCAACCUCGAGACGCCGAUGGAAACCAUGUGGCUAGAGUCCGGAAGAGGAGAGUGGAAUUCCUGGUGUAGCGGUGAAAUGCGCAGAUAUCAGGAAGAACACCCGUGGCUAAGGCGGCUCUCUGGGCCUGACCUGACGCUGAGGAGCGAAAGCGUGGGGAGCGAACAGG
This 253-nucleotide ribosomal RNA is filed under the name uncultured bacterium. RNAcentral's name for it is "partial 16S ribosomal RNA". It matches the Rfam family "Bacterial small subunit ribosomal RNA", at positions 524 to 776 of the family's 1533-position model. The record is from RNAcentral.